Molecule: ribosomal RNA, 253 nt
Filed under: uncultured bacterium
Lineage: Bacteria
Description: partial 16S ribosomal RNA
Rfam family: Bacterial small subunit ribosomal RNA
Source: RNAcentral
UACGUAGGUGGCAAGCGUUGUCCGGAUUUACUGGGCGUAAAGAGCGCGCAGGCGGUCGUUCAAGUCGCGUGUGAAAUCCCCCGGCUCAACCGGGGAACGGCUGGGCAUACUGGCGGUCUUGAGCCACCUAGGGGCGAGCGGAACAAGCGGUGGAGCGGUGAAAUGCGUAGAUAUCGCUUGGAACGCCGACGGUGAAAACAGCUCGCUGGGGGUGUGCUGACGCUGAGACACGAAAGCCAGGGGAGCGAACGGG